RNAcentral lists this transfer RNA (82 nucleotides) under Helicosporidium sp. ex Simulium jonesi. Its description in RNAcentral is "tRNA-Leu". It matches the Rfam family "tRNA". From Rfam's summary of the family: Transfer RNA (tRNA) molecules are approximately 80 nucleotides in length. Their secondary structure includes four short double-helical elements and three loops (D, anti-codon, and T loops). The record is from RNAcentral. Lineage: Eukaryota; Viridiplantae; Chlorophyta; Trebouxiophyceae; Chlorellales; Chlorellaceae.
GCCUUUGUGAUGAAAUUGGUAAACAUGCUAGUUUUAGGAACUAGUAUCUUAUGAUUUGUCGGUUCAAGUCCGACCAAAGGCA